UGGGGAAUUUUGGACAAUGGGCGAAAGCCUGAUCCAGCAAUGCCGCGUGUGUGAAGAAGGCCUUCGGGUUGUAAAGCACUUUUGUCCGGAAAGAAAUGGCUCUGGUUAAUACCUGGGGUCGAUGACGGUACCGGAAGAAUAAGGACCGGCUAACUACGUGCCAGCAGCCGCGGUAAUACGUAGGGUCCAAGCGUUAAUCGGAAUUACUGGGCGUAAAGCGUGCGCAGGCGGUUGUGCAAGACCGAUGUGAAAUCCCCGAGCUUAACUUGGGAAUUGCAUUGGUGACUGCACGGCUAGAGUGUGUCAGAGGGGGGUAGAAUUCCACGUGUAGCAGUGAAAUGCGUAGAGAUGUGGAGGAAUACCGAUGGGCGAAGGCAGCCCCCUGGGAUAACACUGACGCUCAUGCACGAAAGCGUGGGGAGCAAACAGGAUUAGAUACCCUGGUAGUCCACGCCCUAAACGAUGUCAACUAGUUGUUGGGGAUUCAUUUCCUUAGUAACGUAGCUAACGCGUGAAGUUGACCGCCUGGGGAGUACGGUCGCAAGAUUAAAAGCU
RNAcentral lists this ribosomal RNA (555 nucleotides) under uncultured bacterium. Its description in RNAcentral is "partial 16S ribosomal RNA". It matches the Rfam family "Bacterial small subunit ribosomal RNA", at positions 355 to 901 of the family's 1533-position model. The record is from RNAcentral.